Molecule: ribosomal RNA, 440 nt
Filed under: uncultured bacterium
Lineage: Bacteria
Description: partial 16S ribosomal RNA
Rfam family: Bacterial small subunit ribosomal RNA
Source: RNAcentral
CCUACGGGAGGCUGCAGUGGGGAAUAUUGGACAAUGGGGGGAACCCUGAUCCAGCGACGCCGCGUGAGUGAAGAAGUAUUUCGGUAUGUAAAGCUCUAUCAGCAGGGAAGAAAAUGACAGUACCUGACCAAGAAGCCCCGGCUAACUACGUGCCAGCAGCCGCGGUAAUACGUAGGGGGCAAGCGUUAUCCGGAUUUACUGGGUGUAAAGGGAGCGUAGACGGUUAUGUAAGUCUGGAGUGAAAGCCCGGGGCCCAACCCCCGGACUGCUUUGGAAACUGUAUGGCUGGAGUGCAGGAGAGGUAAGUGGAAUUCCUAGUGUAGCGGUGAAAUGCGUAGAUAUUAGGAGGAACACCAGUGGCGAAGGCGGCUUACUGGACUGUAACUGACGUUGAGGCUCGAAAGCGUGGGGAGCAAACAGGAUUAGAUACCCUUGUAGUC